This is a long non-coding RNA of Brassica oleracea var. oleracea, 667 nucleotides long. RefSeq lists it as uncharacterized. Lineage: Eukaryota; Viridiplantae; Streptophyta; Magnoliopsida; Brassicales; Brassicaceae. The transcript has 2 exons. The record is from RefSeq and is a predicted model, not a curated record.
ACUUAUCCCUUUAAUCAACUUCAUCAAUGGAGAGAGAGAAGGAGACGACAAAUAAAUAAAAAAGAAAGCUUUGAUUAACAGGUUAACAGACAUCCAAUUAGAAGAUUCAUUUGGGGUUUCGAUAAAAGUUGUGAUUCAUGGUUGAACGGCGAUGAACGGAAAAUAGAGAUCUAGCGCAGCGGCGGCGCACCACCAGAAACAGCUCUCCGAUAAUCUUCUUGACAUGUCUUCCUCCCAUGGAAGAUGGCUCUCAUCCACUGGUCUCCCAGACUCCCACACUUUCAGCCAUCACCCAGUUCGACGCGGUGCUCUUGUUCAAAAAAAAAAUCAAUGCGGUGGUCAAGUGACAAGAGGAUAUCAGAAUGCUCAGAGAGAGUUUAAUGGAGGAAAUGAGAUAGCUAGAUACGUUUGGUAUCAAUCUGUAGAAUACAGUGUUAGCUAGCUUCUUUCUGGGUUUACUUUCGUAGCUUCUGUUGCAGGCUUAUGGUGCUGUUUGGUGACAUGUCAAGAAGAGAAAGUCGUUUGUACUUUGCAUACUUUUCUAUUAGCGUAGCUCUCUCCCUGUAUUUUUAUUUGAUAUUUUCCUUAGUUGUGUUUUAUGAAUAUCUUACAAUCAUAUAGCUGUCAAAAAUAUUAGUGUUAAAUUAGUCUAGACGGCUAACAAAUA